UAUGCCAUAUAAACUUUGUGACUCUUCUCAACAGGUUCGCCCUUUUAUUUUAACUGAUUCUUUAUUAGAUCUUUCUUUUUUGCUUCGGCAUUUUAGGAGAUCUUGUUACUUUGAGUAAAUUGGAGUGUUCAUAGCAGACGGAUUAUACUACCCGCAUGCGUUAGAAUUUAACCCCCGGGAAUAACAAAAUUGGACAAGUCAUAAUAUUGAUCUAUUUUUUUAUUGUUCCCCCCCCUACCAUCCCUAGGCGUAGCUUGGGGGCAUUUGUAUUCAGAUGUCAGAGGUGAAAUUCUUAGAUUUUCUGGAGACAAACAACUGCGAAAGCAUUUGCCUAAAAUACUUCCAUUAAUCAAGAACGAAAGUUAAGGGAGUGAAGACGAUCAGAUACCGUCGUAAUCUUAACCAUAAACUAUGCCGACUAGGCUUUGGAUGAAAGAUUUAAAAUAAAGUUUUUCCC
Molecule: ribosomal RNA, 457 nt
Filed under: Plasmodium inui
Lineage: Eukaryota; Apicomplexa; Aconoidasida; Haemosporida; Plasmodiidae
Description: partial 18S ribosomal RNA
Rfam family: Eukaryotic small subunit ribosomal RNA
Source: RNAcentral